Molecule: transfer RNA, 73 nt
Filed under: Saccharomyces cerevisiae P283
Lineage: Eukaryota; Fungi; Ascomycota; Saccharomycetes; Saccharomycetales; Saccharomycetaceae
Description: tRNA-Thr
Source: RNAcentral
UCAUUUUGAGAUACAACAACUACCGUAAAAUACGAGCUUCUAUGGCCAAGUUGGUAAGGCGCCACACUAGUAA